GCCAGGUGCCGUGACAUGCACCUGUAGUCCCAGCUACUCCAGAGGCUGAGGGAGGCUGAGGCAGGAUUGCUUGAGCCAAGGAUUUCUGGGCUGUAUCCUGACCUGGUGUCCGAACUAAGUUCAGCAUUCAUAUAGUGACCUCCCAAGAGCUGGGGACCAUUUGCUUGUCUAAGGAGGGGUGAACUGGCCCAGGCAGUAAACAGAGCUGGUCAAAACUCCAAUGCUGAUCAGUAGUGGGAUCGCAUCUGUGAACCACUGCACUCCAGCCUGGGCAACAUAGUGAGACCCCAUCUCU
This 295-nucleotide signal recognition particle RNA is filed under the name Aotus nancymaae (Ma's night monkey). RNAcentral describes it as "Metazoan signal recognition particle RNA (ENSANAG00000004424.1)". It matches the Rfam family "Metazoan signal recognition particle RNA". Rfam says of the family: The signal recognition particle (SRP) is a universally conserved ribonucleoprotein. It is involved in the co-translational targeting of proteins to membranes. Lineage: Eukaryota; Metazoa; Chordata; Mammalia; Primates; Aotidae. The record is from RNAcentral.